CAAGUAGCGUGAAGGAUGACUGCCCUAUGGGUNGUAAACUUNUUUUAUACGGGAAUAAAGUGAGGCACGUGUGCCUUUUUGUAUGUACCGUAUGAAUAAGGAUCGGCUAACUCCGUGCCAGCAGCCGCGGUAAUACGGAGGAUCCGAGCGUUAUCCGGAUUUAUUGGGUUUAAAGGGAGCGUAGGCGGACGCUUAAGUCAGUUGUGAAAGUUUGCGGCUCAACCGUAAAAUUGCAGUUGAUACUGGGUGUCUUGAGUACAGUAGAGGCAGGCGGAAUUCGUGGUGUAGCGGUGAAAUGCUUAGAUAUCACGAAGAACUCCGAUUGCGAAGGCAGCUUGCUGGACUGUAACUGACGCUGAUGCUCGAAAGUGUGGGUAUCAAACAGGAUUAGAUACCCUGGUAGUCCACACAGUAAACGAUGAAUACUCGCUGUUUGCGAUAUACAGUAAGCGGCCAAGCGAAAGCGUUAAGUAUUCCACCUGGGGAGUACGCCGGCAACGGUGAAACUCAAAGGAAUUGACGGGGGCCCGCACAAGCGGAGGAACAUGUGGUUUAAUUCGAUGAUACGCGAGGAACCUUACCCGGGCUUGAAUUGCAACUGAAUGAUGUGGAGACAUGUCAGCCGCAAGGCAGUUGUGAAGGUGCUGCAUGGUUGUCGUCAGCUCGUGCCGUGAGGUGUCGGCUUAAGUGCCAUAACGAGCGCAACCCUUAUCGAUAGUUACCAUCAGGUUAUGCUGGGGACUCUGUCGAGACUGCCGUCGUAAGAUGUGAGGAAGGUGGGGAUGACGUCAAAUCAGCACGGCCCUUACGUCCGGGGCUACACACGUGUUACAAUGGGGGGUACAGAAGGCAGCUACACGGUGACGUGAUGCUAAUCCCGAAAGCCUCUCUCAGUUCGGAUUGGAGUCUGCAACCCGACUCCAUGAAGCUGGAUUCGCUAGUAAUCGCGCAUCAGCCACGGCGCGGUGAAUACGUUCCCGGGCCUUGUACACACCGCCCGUCAAGCCAUGAAAGCCGGGGGUACCUGAAGUGCGUAACCGCAAGGAGC
Molecule: ribosomal RNA, 1048 nt
Filed under: Bacteroides sp.
Lineage: Bacteria; Pseudomonadati; Bacteroidota; Bacteroidia; Bacteroidales; Bacteroidaceae
Also listed under: 2 other names
Description: bacterial SSU rRNA
Rfam family: Bacterial small subunit ribosomal RNA
Source: RNAcentral